CCUACGGGGGGCAGCAGCGGGGAAUAUUGGACAAUGGGGGCAACCCUGAUCCAGCCAUGCCGCGUGUGUGAAGAAGGCCCUCGGGUUGUAAAGCACUUUCAGUGAGGAAGAACGCCUGGUGGUUAAUACCCAUCAGGAAAGACAUCACUCACAGAAGAAGCACCGGCUAACUCCGUGCCAGCAGCCGCGGUAAUACGGAGGGUGCGAGCGUUAAUCGGAAUUACUGGGCGUAAAGCGCGCGUAGGUGGCUUGAUAAGCCGGUUGUGAAAGCCCCGGGCUCAACCUGGGAACGGCAUCCGGAACUGUCAAGCUAGAGUGCAGGAGAGGAAGGUAGAAUUCCCGGUGUAGCGGUGAAAUGCGUAGAGAUCGGGAGGAAUACCAGUGGCGAAGGCGGCCUUCUGGACUGACACUGACACUGAGGUGCGAAAGCGUGGGUAGCAAACAGGAUUAGAUACCCCGGUAGUC
RNAcentral lists this ribosomal RNA (465 nucleotides) under Vreelandella stevensii. Its description in RNAcentral is "partial 16S ribosomal RNA". It matches the Rfam family "Bacterial small subunit ribosomal RNA", at positions 338 to 795 of the family's 1533-position model. Lineage: Bacteria; Pseudomonadati; Pseudomonadota; Gammaproteobacteria; Oceanospirillales; Halomonadaceae. The record is from RNAcentral.